AGUGAACGCUGGCGGUAGGCCUAACACAUGCAAGUCGAACGGCAGCACAGUAAGAGCUUGCUCUUACGGGUGGCGAGUGGCGGACGGGUGAGGGAUACAUCGGAAUCUACUUUUUCGUGGGGGAUAACGUAGGGAAACUUACGCUAAUACCGCAUACGACCUACGGGUGAAAGCAGGGGAUCUUCGGACCUUGCGCGAUUGAAUGAGCCGAUGUCGGAUUAGCUAGUUGGCGGGGUAAAGGCCCACCAAGGCGACGAUCCGUAGCUGGUCUGAGAGGAUGAUCAGCCAAACUGGAACUGAGACACGGUCCAGACUCCUACGGGAGGCAGCAGUGGGGAAUAUUGGACAAUGGGCGCAAGCAUGAUCCAGCCAUACCGCGUGGGUGAAGAAGGCCUUCGGGUUGUAAAGCCCUUUUGUUGGGAAAGAAAAGCAGCAGGUUAAUACCCCGCUGUUCUGACGGUACCCAAAGAAUAAGCACCGGCUAACUUCGUG
This 492-nucleotide ribosomal RNA is filed under the name uncultured bacterium. Its description in RNAcentral is "partial 16S ribosomal RNA". It matches the Rfam family "Bacterial small subunit ribosomal RNA", at positions 29 to 507 of the family's 1533-position model. The record is from RNAcentral.